RNAcentral lists this transfer RNA (71 nucleotides) under Minisyncoccota bacterium. Its description in RNAcentral is "tRNA-Gln". It matches the Rfam family "tRNA". Rfam says of the family: Transfer RNA (tRNA) molecules are approximately 80 nucleotides in length. Their secondary structure includes four short double-helical elements and three loops (D, anti-codon, and T loops). Lineage: Bacteria; Bacillati; Minisyncoccota. The record is from RNAcentral.
UGCCAGAUCGUCUAAAGGUAGGACAGCGCCCUUUGGAGGCGUUUAUCUUGGUUCGAUUCCAAGUCUGGCAG